This 462-nucleotide ribosomal RNA is filed under the name uncultured bacterium. Its description in RNAcentral is "partial 16S ribosomal RNA". It matches the Rfam family "Bacterial small subunit ribosomal RNA", at positions 338 to 795 of the family's 1533-position model. The record is from RNAcentral.
CCUACGGGUGGCAGCAGUGAGGAAUAUUGGUCAAUGGACGCAAGUCUGAACCAGCCAAGUAGCGUGCAGGAUGACGGCCCUCCGGGUUGUAAACUGCUUUUAGUUGGGAAUAAAAGGGGGCUCGUGAGCCCCGUAUUGUAUGUACCAUCAGAAAAAGGACCGGCUAAUUCCGUGCCAGCAGCCGCGGUAAUACGGAAGGUCCGGGCGUUAUCCGGAUUUAUUGGGCGUAAAGGGAGUGUAGGCGGCAUAUUAAGUUAUGUGCGAAAGCCCGCGGCUCAACCGCGGAAUUGCACAUAAAACUGGUAAGCUGGAGUGCAGGAGAGGUAAGUGGAAUUCCCGGUGUAGCGGUGGAAUGCGUAGAUAUCGGGAGGAACACCAGAGGCGAAGGCGACUUACUGGACUGUAACUGACGCUGAGGCUCGAAAGCGUGGGGAGCAAACAGGAUUAGAUACCCUUGUAGUC